RNAcentral lists this ribosomal RNA (489 nucleotides) under uncultured bacterium. RNAcentral's name for it is "bacterial SSU rRNA". It matches the Rfam family "Bacterial small subunit ribosomal RNA", at positions 31 to 507 of the family's 1533-position model. The record is from RNAcentral.
GAACGCUAGCGGCAGGCUUAACACAUGCAAGUCGAGGGGCAGCAUAAUGAAGUAGCAAUACUGAAUUGAUGGCGACCGGCGCACGGGUGCGUAACGCGUAUGUAACCUACCUCUAACAGGGGGAUAACACUGAGAAAUUGGUACUAAUACCCCCAUAACACUUGAUAGGGCAUCCUAUUGAGUUGAAAGUUCCGGCGGUUAUAGAUGGGCAUGCGUUGUAUUAGCUAGUAGGUGAGGUAACGGCUCACCUAGGCGACGAUACAUAGGGGGACUGAGAGGUUAACCCCCCACACUGGUACUGAGACACGGACCAGACUCCUACGGGAGGCAGCAGUGAGGAAUAUUGGUCAAUGGACGCAAGUCUGAACCAGCCAUGCCGCGUGCAGGACGACGGCUCUAUGAGUUGUAAACUGCUUUUGUACAAGGGUAAACCCUGGGACGUGUCCCAGGCUGAAAGUACUGUACGAAUAAGGAUCGGCUAACUCCGUG